Molecule: non-coding RNA, 354 nt
Organism: Myodes glareolus (Bank vole)
Lineage: Eukaryota; Metazoa; Chordata; Mammalia; Rodentia; Cricetidae
Source: RefSeq, a predicted model, not a curated record
CUCAGGUCAUUUUCUUUGGGCUCUGACAGUGGGAGGAAGACCCCAGCUUUGAAGGAGGACAGACAGUACUACCGUGUAACUCAUCAAUCACCAGAUGAAAAUCAUGGAGUUGGAGGACUCUGUUGGUGAGGUCUGCCCUGUCAGCCGCUUGAGUAAAGGAGAGAGAGAUUCCAGCCUGUGGUUGGUGGCUGUGUGACUUUGAGCCUGCGGUGGGAGCACAUGGUGGAGCUAAGCCAUUCUGUGAAGAGCCAAGAAACAAAAGUGGAGAGGACCAGGGUUUCACAACCCUCUCAAGGACAUCUUCCCAGUGACCUGAACACCGCCCAGGAAGCAACAUUCCUAAAGGUCUUACCA